Molecule: long non-coding RNA, 899 nt
Filed under: Rattus norvegicus (Norway rat)
Lineage: Eukaryota; Metazoa; Chordata; Mammalia; Rodentia; Muridae
Description: long non-coding RNA NONRATT005959
Source: RNAcentral
GGGGGGUGUCCAGGUCUAGGGGUCUUCUGUAAUUCACUCUGCUGUUCUGGAAGGGGGGUUACCUGGUAGUCUUAAGGGGUCAUUGGAAGUAUUAACGUCCUUCCCUAUGUCCCUUCUAGUUUCCCGGGCAGAGGGCAUGUUGGGUCCCUAAGCCCUAGCUGCCUACGGGCUCCAUCUUGGCUGUUUCCCAUCCCUGUCCAAGCCCCCAACUGUUGAAUGUUCAGUCACUGAGACAGUGCCUUUUACAAGUGCAGUUUGUCCUCUGGCUGUGAGCAUCAAGUGGCUGCGGAGAUUCCCCUCAUCUCCUCAGACAGUGGGAACCUUGUUCAAAGAACUGAUUAAGUUCUGAACCCUCCCCCCUUUCCUCCUGUGUGUGGAAGAGAAGACCCUGGCCCUGCAAAGUCUAUGUGUGACUUUGGCAUUGUGAACACUUCAUUUUCUCCUGCCCUACCCUGACCCAGGAACCCAAUCUAGCAAGACUGGAGGUGACAGUCACUGGGGGGCCCAGAGCCGAGGGUUGGGGUGGGUAACCCCUGACAAGCACAGACUCCAGUUCUGCCAAAAGCUAACGGCCCUCCAGUCCACUUCCUCACCCCCAGCGGAGGCCAGGCAGGGAUAGGACAGAGGCAUCUAGAAGCACAAGAAGAUAAAGAAUGGGCCCACCCCAACUCUACCUGGUGGACCACCUAUUAUGGGCAAACCUUGCCCACCUGGUUUUCCUCAAGUGUACAUAGAUCUGGGGGGCGGGGGGAGGACAGGGUAUUGGCUUAGUGUGUGAGGUUCUAAACCCAUGGGUCUGUUUGUACCAUGUCCUGAGUCUAAGGUCCUGUGACUAUACCCUCCUGUCCUGGGUCAUUUGUAUCUCUUGGCUUUGUAAUAAAUGCUGCCUACACUCUUAA